CGUAGCAAUACGAAGUUCUGCUAGUGGCAAACGGGUGAGUAAUACAUAGGAAUCUACCUUGCAGUGUGGGAUAACCAUUGGAAACGAUGGCUAAUACCGCAUAUUGCCUAAGGGUGAAAGAUUUAUCGCUGCAAGAUGAGCCUAUGCAAGAUUAGCUAGUUGGUGGGGUAAAGGCCUACCAAGGCGAAGAUCUUUAGCUGGUCUAAGAGGAUGAUCAGCCACACUGGAACUGAGACACGGUCCAGACUCC
This 250-nucleotide ribosomal RNA is filed under the name uncultured bacterium. Its description in RNAcentral is "partial 16S ribosomal RNA". It matches the Rfam family "Bacterial small subunit ribosomal RNA", at positions 75 to 339 of the family's 1533-position model. The record is from RNAcentral.